AGAUAUCUUAGAGACUGGUACUACACUUAAGUCAAUUACUGAAUUAUUACAAUCUAGAAAAGUUAAUUCAUUAGAAAUAGU
This 81-nucleotide small RNA is filed under the name Staphylococcus aureus. Its description in RNAcentral is "Antisense". Lineage: Bacteria; Bacillati; Bacillota; Bacilli; Caryophanales; Staphylococcaceae. The record is from RNAcentral.